RNAcentral lists this transfer RNA (110 nucleotides) under uncultured marine bacterium. RNAcentral describes it as "tRNA-Ile". The stretch from base 1 to 69 matches the Rfam family "tRNA". From Rfam's summary of the family: Transfer RNA (tRNA) molecules are approximately 80 nucleotides in length. Their secondary structure includes four short double-helical elements and three loops (D, anti-codon, and T loops). Further hydrogen bonds mediate the characteristic L-shaped molecular structure. tRNAs have two regions of fundamental functional importance: the anti-codon, which is responsible for specific mRNA codon recognition, and the 3' end, to which the tRNAs corresponding amino acid is attached (by aminoacyl-tRNA synthetases). tRNAs cope with the degeneracy of the genetic code in two manners: having more than one tRNA (with a specific anti-codon) for a particular amino acid; and 'wobble' base-pairing, i.e. permitting non-standard base-pairing at the 3rd anti-codon position. The record is from RNAcentral.
UGUAGCUCAGCUGGUUAGAGCGCACCCCUGAUAAGGGUGAGGUCGGCAGUUCAAGUCUGCCCAAGCCUACCAAUUCUACUUGGGCUUCGUUUAUUUUGGAGAGCUGCGAU